ACUCCUGCGGGAGGCAGCAGUGGGGAAUUUUGGACAGUGGGCGAAAGCCUGAUCCAGCAAUGCCGCGUGAGUGAAGAAGGCCUUCGGGUUGUAAAGCUCUUUUGUCAGGGAAGAAACGGUGAGAGCUAAUAUCUCUUGCUAAUGACGGUACCUGAAGAAUAAGCACCGGCUAACUACGUGCCAGCAGCCGCGGUAAUACGUAGGGUGCAAGCGUUAAUCGGAAUUACUGGGCGUAAAGCGUGCGCAGGCGGUUUUGUAAGUCUGAUGUGAAAUCCCCGGGCUCAACCUGGGAAUUGCAUUGGAGACUGCAAGGCUAGAAUCUGGCAGAGGGGGGUAGAAUUCCACGUGUAGCAGUGAAAUGCGUAGAUAUGUGGAGGAACACCGAUGGCGAAGGCAGCCCCCUGGGUCAAGAUUGACGCUCAUGCACGAAAGCGUGGGGAGCAAACAGGAUUAGAUACCCCAGUAGUCC
This 469-nucleotide ribosomal RNA is filed under the name uncultured organism. Its description in RNAcentral is "partial 16S ribosomal RNA". It matches the Rfam family "Bacterial small subunit ribosomal RNA", at positions 335 to 796 of the family's 1533-position model. The record is from RNAcentral.